AUGAACGCUGGCGGAGUGCCUAAUACAUGCAAGUCGAGCGGCAGCACGAGUAGUUUACUACUUGGUGGCGAGCGGCGGACGGCUGAGUAACGCGUGGGAACAUGCCCCAAAGUGAGGAAUAAGCAUCGGAAACGGUGUCUAAUGCCGCAUAUGAUCUUCGGAUUAAAGGAUUUAUCCGCUUUGGGAGUGGCCUGCGUACGAUUAGAUAGUUGGUGAGGAAAGGCUCACCAAGUCUACGAUCGUUAACUGGUUUGAGAGGAUGAUCAGUCAGACUGGAACUGAGACACGGUCCAGACUCCUACGGGAGCAGCAGUAAGGAAUCUUCCACAAUGGACGAAAGUCUGAUGGAGCAACUCCGCGUGCAGGAUGAAGGCCUUCGGGUCGU
This 385-nucleotide ribosomal RNA is filed under the name uncultured bacterium. RNAcentral describes it as "bacterial SSU rRNA". It matches the Rfam family "Bacterial small subunit ribosomal RNA", at positions 29 to 426 of the family's 1533-position model. The record is from RNAcentral.